Molecule: long non-coding RNA, 736 nt
Filed under: Homo sapiens (human)
Lineage: Eukaryota; Metazoa; Chordata; Mammalia; Primates; Hominidae
Description: metastasis associated lung adenocarcinoma transcript 1
Source: RNAcentral
GUGCGGUAGGCAUUGAGGCAGCCAGCGCAGGGGCUUCUGCUGAGGGGGCAGGCGGAGCUUGAGGAAACCGCAGAUAAGUUUUUUUCUCUUUGAAAGAUAGAGAUUAAUACAACUACUUAAAAAAUAUAGUCAAUAGGUUACUAAGAUAUUGCUUAGCGUUAAGUUUUUAACGUAAUUUUAAUAGCUUAAGAUUUUAAGAGAAAAUAUGAAGACUUAGAAGAGUAGCAUGAGGAAGGAAAAGAUAAAAGGUUUCUAAAACAUGACGGAGGUUGAGAUGAAGCUUCUUCAUGGAGUAAAAAAUGUAUUUAAAAGAAAAUUGAGAGAAAGGACUACAGAGCCCCGAAUUAAUACCAAUAGAAGGGCAAUGCUUUUAGAUUAAAAUGAAGGUGACUUAAACAGCUUAAAGUUUAGUUUAAAAGUUGUAGGUGAUUAAAAUAAUUUGAAGGCGAUCUUUUAAAAAGAGAUUAAACCGAAGGUGAUUAAAAGACCUUGAAAUCCAUGACGCAGGGAGAAUUGCGUCAUUUAAAGCCUAGUUAACGCAUUUACUAAACGCAGACGAAAAUGGAAAGAUUAAUUGGGAGUGAUAGGGAAAUUAGAAGAUAAAAACAUACUUUUAGAAGAAAAAAGAUAAAUUUAAACCUGAAAAGUAGGAAGCAGAAGAAAAAAGACAAGCUAGGAAACAAAAAGCUAAGGGCAAAAUGUACAAACUUAGAAGAAAAUUGGAAGAUAGAAACAA